This 1354-nucleotide ribosomal RNA is filed under the name uncultured marine eukaryote. Its description in RNAcentral is "SSU rRNA". It matches the Rfam family "Eukaryotic small subunit ribosomal RNA", at positions 411 to 1777 of the family's 1831-position model. The record is from RNAcentral.
CACAUCUAAGGAAGGCAGCAGGCGCGCAAAUUACCCAAUCCUGACUCAGGGAGGUAGUGACAAGAAAUAACAAUAAACCGGCUUAUGCCGGUUUAAUUGGAAUGAGUACAAUUUAAACAUCUUAACGAGGAACAAUUGGAGGGCAAGUCUGGUGCCAGCAGCCGCGGUAAUUCCAGCUCCAAUAGCGUAUACUAAAGUUGUUGCAGUUAAAAAGCUCGUAGUUGGAUUUCUGUGGGGACGGAGCGGCCGGCCGCAACACGCGGUUCGAGCUAGCGCUUUCCCUACAUCCUGCCGCGAACCGUGCUACCAUUAGUUUGGUGGCGCCGGGGAUCGGCUCGAUUACUUUGAGAAAAAUAGAGUGUUCAAAGCAGGCCACACGCCUUGAAUAAGUUAGCAUGGAAUAAUAACUAAGGACUUCGGUUCUAUUUUGUUGGUGUUCGGGACUGAAGUAAUGAUUGAUAGGGACAGUUGGGGCGGUCUGUAUUCCAAGGCGAGAGGUGAAAUUCUUAGACCUUCGGAAGACAAACAGCUGCGAAAGCGUUCCGCAAGGAUGUUCCCUUUGAUCAGGAACGAAAGUUGGGGGAUCGAAGACGAUCAGAUACCGUCGUAGUCUCAACUAUAAACUAUACCAGCUAGGGAUCGGCCAACGUUAUUUCAUACCGACUUGGUCGGCACCUUAUGAGAAAUCAAAGCAUCUGGGUUCCGGGGGGAGUAUGGUCGCAAGGCUGAAACUUAAAGGAAUUGACGGAAGGGCACCACCAGCCGUGGAGCCUGUGGCUUAAUUUGACUCAACACGGGAAAACUUACCAGGUCCAGACAUAGUAAGGAUUGACAGAUUGAUAGCUCUUUCUUGAUUCUGUGGGUGGUGGUGCAUGGCCGUUCUUAGUUGGUGGAGUGAUUUGUCUGGUUAAUUCCGUUAACGAACGAGACCCCAGCCUGCUAAAUAGCGCGCGUGAGCUUUGCUCGCGGCGAGCUUCUUAGAGGGACUCUGAUGCGCGAUAGCACAUGGAAGUUUGGGGCAAUAACAGGUCUGUGAUGCCCUUAGAUGUUCUGGGCCACACACGGGCUACACUGGCGCCUGCAACGAGCAUAUCAGCUGGCCCGAGAGGGUCUUGGCUAAUCUUUUGAACCGGCGCCGUGCUUGGGAUUGACCUUUGCAAUUGUUGGUCAUGCAACGAGGAAUGCCUUGUAAACGCGAGUCAUCAGCUCGCAUUGAAUACGUCCCUGCCCUUUGUACACACCGCCCGUCGCUCCUACCGAUGAAUGUUCCGAUGAAAUUUUCGGAGAGCACCUGUGAACUUGGCUCUGCCUUGCGAACGGGAGGCUCAAAGUCACUUAAAUCUGAACAUUUCGA